AGCUCCAAUAGCGUAUACUAAAUUUGUUGCAGUUAAAAAGCUCGUAGUUGGAUUUCUGGCUGGUGUGAAUGGACCGCCCCAUGGGUUGGUGCAUACGCGCUGUCCAUCCUGGGAAAUCGCGCUUUGGGUCUUUACUGAUUUAAGGUUGCAAUUCCCUCGUUUACUUUGAGAAAAUUAGAGUGUUCAAAGCAGGCUUACGCUUGAAUACAUUAGCAUGGAAUAAUACUAUAGGACUCAUGUCCUAUUUUGUUGGUUUCUAGGACAGGAGUAAUGAUUGAUAGGGACGGUUGGGGGCAUCAGUAUUUCAAAGCGAGAGGUGAAAUUCUUGGACCUUUGGAAGACUAACAACUGCGAAAGCAUUUGCCUAGGACGUUCUCU
Molecule: ribosomal RNA, 378 nt
Filed under: uncultured eukaryote
Lineage: Eukaryota
Description: SSU rRNA
Rfam family: Eukaryotic small subunit ribosomal RNA
Source: RNAcentral